Sapajus apella (tufted capuchin) is the source of this 3429-nucleotide RNA transcript. It is a transcript of the gene named serine/arginine-rich splicing factor 10 pseudogene, with no coding region annotated. Lineage: Eukaryota; Metazoa; Chordata; Mammalia; Primates; Cebidae. The record is from RefSeq and is a predicted model, not a curated record. The transcript has a single exon.
GCUAGGCACAGUGGCUAACACCUGCAAUCUCAUCACUUUGGGAGACUGAGGCAGGAGGAUCACUUACGCCCAGGAGUUCAGCACUAAACCUGGAUAACAUAGCAAGACCCUGUCUCUUGGGAUGGUUUGCUGAACCCGUUAGUACGCCCGGCCAAGACACGCCGCCGCCAUGUCUCGCUACCUGCGUCCCCCUAACACAUCUCUGUUCGUCAGGAACGUGGCCGACGACACCAGGUCUGAAGAUUUACGGCGUGAAUUUGGUCGUUAUGGUCCUAUAGUUGAUGUGUAUGUUCCACUUGAUUUCUACACUCGCCGUCCAAGAGGAUUUGCUUAUGUUCAAUUUGAGGAUGUUCGUGAUGCUGAAGAUGCUUUACAUAAUUCAGACAGAAAGUGGAUUUGUGGACGGCAGAUUGAAUACAGUUUGCCCAGGGGGAUCGGAAGACACCAAAUCAGAUGAAAGCCAAGGAAGGGAAGAAUGUGUACAGUUCUUCACACUAUGAUGAUUAUAACAGAUACAGACAUUCAAGAAGCCGAAGUUACGAAAGAAGGAGAUCAAGAAGUCGGUCUUUUGAUUACAACUAUAGAAGAUUGUAUAGUCCUAGAAAUAGACCGACUGGAAGACCACGGCGUAGCAGAAGCCACUCCGACAAUGAUAGACCAAACUGCAGCUGGAAUACCCAGUACAGUUCUGCUUACUACACAUCAAGAAAGAUCUGAAAGCAGAAAAAGAACCAAAGAAGGGCAGUUCAAGCGACCAAAGGGUGGGUGGAAGGUGCUGCAGUAUGAAUACUGUACGAAUAUUUUGACUCUGGUCUGAAAAGAUAAAAGAAUGUUAUCGAAAACUACAUGGAAUAAUUGAAGUCCCUUCAAGUUUGAAAGUAAGCAUUUUAGGACAAAUAAAAGGAAAUUCAACUUUGUACUUGUGGAAACUAAUCCCUAAAUAUGAAUAGGUUUAUAUUGAUUCAUGGGUACCAGAUCCAUAACAAAUUAUUGGAAAAUAGGAUGUCUGAAUAUCAAGGAAGACAGCCAUAGUCUCUUACAGUGCCUCUGUUGGUCUGUCUCAAACUGAAUUGGGUGGGAAAAGGUAUGGUCCAAUAUAAAAGUUCCAUUUUUGCCAUUAUUGGCAAAUCUUGCCUUUGUUUAUUUUGGUGCCAGUGUUUUCUGCUUAAUCAUUUGCUUUGUUGGCAUCUGCAUUUAUUUACUUGUACACCACAUGGCAGUUUACAUCUUCCUUAACUACUCUCCUUCCCAGGUAAAUUCGAAUUACAUUUGACAUCCAGCUAAGAGGGCCCAUCUCUUCUCACCUCUUUACUAGUCAAUAUGUUCAGCAAAUAUUUAUUGAGCCCUUACUAUGGGCAAAUCAUUGUACUGGAUAAUUGAGGAGAAAAAUAGAUAAUUCCCUUAUUCGGUGAAUGUCUACCGAGCACAAUCUAGUGAAUCAUUACAGUAUCACCUCGUUGUUUUGUUUGAGGUAUAUUAUUCGUAACAAUAUUUUACACCAUUCAUAUCAAUGUAAUUAUAGAACCCAAUGUGCUAUCAAGAAUAAGUAAUUAUGUGGUUAUUCUGGCAUUUAAAAGUAUCCAGUAUUUGUUUGAUCCCAAUAUUACAAAUAAUGAAAAAAUGAUUUGUUUUAAUCUGUAAUAAACUGGUUUAUUGUGCAGUGACUGUAAUAUACUAGAGUUAUAUUAAAGUGCUCACUCUGCCUCACCAAACACAUACUAGGAAAUAACCCCCAAAAUAAGUAUUUAACUUUGCAUUAGAUAUAAAGGAUACUGGGUGCUAUAAUUAGAUUAUUUUGAGGCAGACAGCUGUUAUCCCAACUCAUUUAGUGUGUUCUGUAAUUGAAAAAAUGUUCACCAAAUUAUACUUUUUAGUGAUUUACAUGUACAUUUUAUAGGGGACGUGUUCUGUGUAUAGUGAAUAAAUAACUUUUAUAGUAUCACGAAAUGUUUUAGAUUCCUUAGUUUCUUAUUAGGAUGUUUCUUUACCUAUACAUUGAUUCCAUCAUGUUUGACUUUUGUCUUCUUUUUGCCACAUAUUUAAAACUUUCCAUGUAAAAUUAUUAACAAAAAAUCUGGAAGUGGAGUUUAAGCUUUUAAUUUAUAGCAAUUUUGAAAAUACAGCAGAGGUAUAUUUUCAAGGGAGGUAUGAAAUGGUACUUUUGUCUGUAUUUUAUUUUAUAAUUUUUUUUGAACUUGCCCAGGAUCACACAGCAAGUGUCAGAUCUUAGGUUAAAGUCCAAAAUUUUUUCACAUGCUUCAUCUUUUGUUAUAUUUUUGUUGUUGUUUAAUCAAACGGGGAAAUGUUUUUAUAUCUUUAUUUUCAUGGAGAUAGCAAAAUUGAUAUAAUGGGAACUAGAAUUUACUUAGAGCCAAAAUGACUAGAUUUAAUUACAAAAAGUAUUUUGUUGUAUACAGUUACACACUCAUUAACAUAGUGGGUGGUUCUUAUGGAUAGAGGUUCUCUGUAUUUUUAAAAGAAUACGUAGAGUUCAUAAACGUUUUUUGCCCUCUACCUCCCUUCUUUCUCCAUUUCCUUUUGAAUUAAGACAUUUAAGGGGGAGAGUUAAGUUGCAUAUUGAGUUGGGAUUUUGUUUAAAAAUAGGUGAAUACAUAUAUAAAUACAAUAACAAUAGUUGGUAGUUCUCUAAAAUAUUGUAAGUCAGAAAAGGACCUUUAAUUUUUGUAUCUGUUGAAUGAAUUGCUUUCGGAUCUCUUCUGUGGUUGUUUCUCUUUAUAUUGAAUGCUGUCAAUAUUGUUGAGGACUUAGUGUGCCAAACCAUGUGCUUUUCAAAUAUUUAAUUCUAAAAACACUCCUGGGAAGUGGGUAUUAUUCCCAUUUUACAGAUGAGAAAAUUGUCCCACCGUGUGAUAGCAUCUUGCAUAUGUUCAUUCCUCACAACUUUACAAGGUAAAUGGAUAAUGUUCCUGGGUGAGAGAUUAAAUAUAAUCCAAGAUCUCACGGCUGUGUGGCUCAGAGACUCUAAGCAUGGCUUUCCAAAUCUCAUUCUCUUGUAGAGAUUUUCCAUUGUAUUGCAUUUUGACCAUAUUCUUGUUUACAAAACCUAAGAAUAUAUUCGGGAGGCUGUGACUUGAGCAAUAGCUUAGGAAUAAUCUAAUGGCAUUUUAAUAGGAAGGAGGACUAGCAAAACCUGUAGAAGUCCCAGGCAUGAACUGUGGUCAUUUUAGAUAGGAUGACUUGAUAAAUAGGGUGAAGUGAGCAACGUGUUUUGUCUUCAGUUAUUGAUACCUACAAGACAUUCUGCUGGUCACUGUGGAAAAGGUUCCUUCUCAGAUUUUUUCCUCUGCUCCUUCCUCUAACAGUGUUGGUUAUCUUUAUUAUGUUUCUGUGUAUUUGUAACAGCUAUUACACCCUUGUAUUGCACAAUGGGGAUUUUUCUUGGAAUAAAAAGUGAGGCAUGUAAACUCA